Molecule: ribosomal RNA, 375 nt
Filed under: uncultured bacterium
Lineage: Bacteria
Description: bacterial SSU rRNA
Rfam family: Bacterial small subunit ribosomal RNA
Source: RNAcentral
GGUACUUUCGAGUCAGUGAGGAAGGUGGGAUAUGUUAAUAGUCAUAUUCAUUUGACGUUAGCUGCAGAAGAAGCACCGGCUAACUCCGUGCCAGCAGCCGCGGUAAUACGGAGGGUGCGAGCGUUAAUCGGAAUUACUGGGCGUAAAGCGCAUGCAGGUGGUUGUUAAGUCAGAUGUGAAAGCCCGGGGCUCAACCUCGGAAUUGCAUUUGAAACUGGCAAACUAGAGUACUGUAGAGGGGGGUAGAAUUUCAGGUGUAGCGGUGAAAUGCGUAGAGAUCUGAAGGAAUACCGGUGGCGAAGGCGGCCCCCUGGACAGAUACUGACACUCAGAUGCGAAAGCGUGGGGAGCAAACAGGAUUAGAUACCCUGGUAG